GGUAGUCCACGCCGUAAACGAUGAAUGCUAGGUGUUAGGGGUUUCCAUCCCCUUGGUGCCGAAGUUAACACAUUAAGCAUUCCGCCUGGGGAGUACGGCCGCAAGGCUGAAACUCAAAGGAAUUGACGGGGACCCGCACAAGCGGUGGAGUAUGUGGUUUAAUUCGAAGCAACGCGAAGAACCUUACCAGGUCUUGACAUCUUAUGGACCGCCCUAAAAAUAGGGUUUUCCUUCGGGACAUUAAAGACAGGUGGUGCAUGGUUGUCGUCAGCUCGUGUCGUGAGAUGUUGGGUUAAGUCCCGCAACGAGCGCAACCCUUAACUUUAGUUGCCAGCAUUUAGUUGGGCACUCUAGAGUGACUGCCGGUGACAAACCGGAGGAAGGUGGGGAUGACAUCAAAUCAUCAUGCCCCUUAUGACCUGGGCUACACAC
RNAcentral lists this ribosomal RNA (432 nucleotides) under Bacillus sp. (in: firmicutes). RNAcentral describes it as "bacterial SSU rRNA". It matches the Rfam family "Bacterial small subunit ribosomal RNA", at positions 789 to 1221 of the family's 1533-position model. Lineage: Bacteria; Bacillati; Bacillota; Bacilli; Caryophanales; Bacillaceae. The record is from RNAcentral.